This 433-nucleotide ribosomal RNA is filed under the name uncultured bacterium. RNAcentral's name for it is "partial 16S ribosomal RNA". It matches the Rfam family "Bacterial small subunit ribosomal RNA", at positions 29 to 507 of the family's 1533-position model. The record is from RNAcentral.
AGCGAACGCUGGCGGCAGGCCUAACACAUGCAAGUCGAGCGAGGACUUCGGUUCUAGCGGCGGACGGGUGAGUAACGCGUGGGAAUGUGCCCUUCUCUACGGAAUAGCCCUGGGAAACUGGGAGUAAUACCGUAUACGCCCUAUUGGGGAAAGAUUUAUCGGAGAAGGAUCAGCCCGCGUUGGAUUAGGUAGUUGGUGGGGUAAUGGCCUACCAAGCCGACGAUCCAUAGCUGGUUUGAGAGGAUGAUCAGCCACACUGGGACUGAGACACGGCCCAGACUCCUACGGGAGGCAGCAGUGGGGAAUCUUAGACAAUGGGGGCAACCCUGAUCUAGCCAUGCCGCGUGAGUGAUUAAGGCCUUAGGGUUGUAAAGCUCUUUCAGCUGGGAAGAUAAUGACGGUACCAGCAGAAGAAGCCCCGGCUAACUCCGUG